CCUUUUUGGAAUCCUUCUAUGUCAAAAGUGGAAUACAAUGGAAUGCAAUUCCUUCAGCCUUGCUGGAUUUUACCGCCAUUUUCCGAUGAUGUGUGUGGCUACUUACAGGCAAAGUCUGUCAUUUUUACGAUUUAAACAUUUUUUUCCCUUUUACAUCAAUUCUUGCCAUUAGUGUGAGCAACGAAUAUUUGAACAAAAAGGGUGGAGCAGCACAUGUCGACACACAAUACAACCAUGCUCGCAGGCAUAUCUUAUUUUUCCUCUGCGAAACACGACUAAUAUUAUCGCAGCCGCUGGCUCCUUGAGUGCUGACUCUUGUUUCAGUCUGCAAAACUCGGGGGGGCCCCCCCCCCAAAAAAUUUUUUUUUAAAGGGAUUUAAUGCUUGUUUUAUUUUAAUCUAGUCAAAAACGUUUUCUUUUUAAUUCUCAAGUAUAUAAAAUAAAUGCAACAACAAAUAAUGAAACCCAUUUUAGCCCAAAUUGUUUGAUUAAAGUCAACAGGAUGCUAUUAAUUUUUUUACGCAGUUGAGGUAAGAAAUUCCAACACAUUCCUCACCAUUAGGAAGUUCCAUCACAAUUGGCCAGCAAAGAGCCCAGAGGGUUAAACUGCCUCAUCUGCACUUUACGAUUCCCCGAAGAGUGUGUGCAUGUGUAUUUGUGACGCUCCCCCAGCUGAAACAAGGACGGUGACACGGCUCCGAGCCCAAGCAGAUGUUCCUUUUUAAUAAUUCAGCUGCACAUUGCAUAAGAGUUGCAUCGCGGGAGGCGAAUAAUAACGUGCUGGAGAGUGUACGCCCGAGGCGCUUUCGGACAGGAUGUAGCGGACGUCACGGGCCAAGAGUCUUCCUUCAUUCGCUCGAUCAACUACUUUGAUGGAACGUCCUUGGGGGGAGUUGAGCAUGUGCGACCCGAUGCAGCCGUUUGUCGUCCCUGAUCAUUUACAUCAAGGGGACAUUGUUAUAAUUCACUUUAUAAUGUUUGUCGACAGAGAUAAGAAGUGAUACGCACAUCUGCCUCACAAUCCUGAGGUUCUGGGUUAGACUCCGGACAGUUUAGUGAUGAAGUGCUGCCUACACAAGUGAAAAUAGACUUUUUUUUCGGGGGAGGGGGGGGCCUUGCUUUUUUUGUUUUAAAUUGUGUGUGUGUGGUGGGUGGUGGGGGGGACUUUAAUAUGCACACCCCGGCGGCACUUUGCGUCAUAUUUGAGGGACAGAUGACAAACGAGCAGGGAAUGAAUAUGGUUGGGCAGAGACGCAAAUGAAAGAUGCCCAUUGGAAGCGGAUACAAGCAGAAACACAAGAGUGAUAACGGCGCAGUAUGAGGAGAGGCGAGCGGAGUCGGGAGAACUUACCUCAUCAUGGCGAACGGACUGCACGCUCGCCACCUUGAAGCAAUACGCAGACCAAAUAUUGACUCUGGAAAUUGAGAGAGUGCAACGGGAGGGGGGGGGGGGGGGGGGGAGGGACGACACGCCGCUUAGGAAAGUGCAAAAUCCUUUUUUUUUUUUUUAAUUUUUGGUCUUUUUGUUUUUUU
Molecule: long non-coding RNA, 1533 nt
Organism: Hippocampus zosterae (dwarf seahorse)
Lineage: Eukaryota; Metazoa; Chordata; Actinopteri; Syngnathiformes; Syngnathidae
Exons: 2
Source: RefSeq, a predicted model, not a curated record